UCCCUGAGUGCCGCCGCCUCGUGCUUGUCCUGCCCUUGUGGGGCCACAGUGCCCAGAGGGCAAAUCGCACAGCUGUGGUGCUACUGCCGCCAGGCAUUCUUGGUCUUCUGUUGUUUCUGGGGCCUGGAUUGCCUCCAGUCAGCAAGGAUUGUUCCCAAACGUCAUCCCCUGGCUCUGGAACUCGAUGAAGUUGUGUUCCUUGAAGUCCAGGACAGGAAAAACCAUUUAAGUGGGCCCCGUGAUGUCAGAAGCUUUGGUGUUUGAGCAGCCAAAGCCAAGAGGCUCUUGCCCCGGAGGUCUGCAGUGGAGGGCCCUGGUCCUGCCCAUGCUGUGGGGAGGCUAGUACUUGAGAAGCACUUAUGGAGCACUUUCGCUGCUCAAGAAAUUCCAGGAAGAACAAGCUGCCUAGCUGCUCAGUUCAGAGGCCAGAGAUACUCUCUGGCAGUGGCACAAGAGGAGGACAACAAACAGGACAAUACCUUCAGUUGAUGAU
Molecule: long non-coding RNA, 493 nt
Organism: Vidua macroura (Pin-tailed whydah)
Lineage: Eukaryota; Metazoa; Chordata; Aves; Passeriformes; Viduidae
Exons: 3
Source: RefSeq, a predicted model, not a curated record